CCUACGGGUGGCAGCAGUGAGGAAUAUUGCACAAUGGGGGAAACCCUGAUGCAGCGACGCCGCGUGAGUGAAGAAGUAUCUCGGUACGUAAAGCUCUAUCAGCAGGGAAGAAAAUGACGGUACCUGACUAAGAAGCCCCGGCUAACUACGUGCCAGCAGCCGCGGUAAUACGUAGGGGGCAAGCGUUAUCCGGAUUUACUGGGUGUAAAGGGAGCGUAGACGGCAGCACAAGUCUGGAGUGAAAUCCCGGGGCUUAACCCCGGAACUGCUUUGGAAACUGUGCGGCUGGAGUGCAGGAGGGGUAAGCGGAAUGCCUAGUGUAGCGGGGAAAGGGGUAGAUAUUAGGAGGAAAACCGGUGGCGAAGGCGGCUUACGGGCCUGUACCUGACGUUGAGGCUCGAAAGCGUGGGAGCAAACAGGAUUAGAUACCCGAGUAGUC
This 439-nucleotide ribosomal RNA is filed under the name uncultured bacterium. RNAcentral describes it as "partial 16S ribosomal RNA". It matches the Rfam family "Bacterial small subunit ribosomal RNA", at positions 338 to 795 of the family's 1533-position model. The record is from RNAcentral.